RNAcentral lists this ribosomal RNA (485 nucleotides) under Nematostella vectensis (starlet sea anemone). RNAcentral's name for it is "Eukaryotic large subunit ribosomal RNA". It matches the Rfam family "Eukaryotic large subunit ribosomal RNA", at positions 956 to 1444 of the family's 3401-position model. Lineage: Eukaryota; Metazoa; Cnidaria; Anthozoa; Actiniaria; Edwardsiidae. The record is from Rfam by way of RNAcentral.
UCCCUCCGAAGUUCCCUCAGGAUAGCUGGAACUUACGGCAGUUUUAUCAGGUAAAGCGAAUGAUUAGAGGUCUUAGGGUUAAAACAACCUUAACCUAUUCUCAAACUUUAAAUUGGUAAGAAGUCCGACUUGCUUAAUUGAAGCCGGACAGAGAAUGCAAGUUCCUAGUGGGCCAUUUUUGGUAAGCAGAACUGGCGAUGCGGGAUGAACCGAACGCGCGGUUAAGGUGCCAAAGUCGACGCUCAUCAGACCCCACAAAAGGUGUUGGUUGCUCUAGACAGCAGGACGGUGGCCAUGGAAGUUGGAAUCCGCUAAGGAGUGUGUAACAACUCACCUGCCGAAGCAACUAGCCCUGAAAAUGGAUGGCGCUCAAGCGUCGCACCUAUACCGUGCCGUCGGAGCAGAUGCAAAGCUCCGACGAGUAGGAGGGCGUGGGGGUCGUGACGCAGCCUCUGGCGCGAGCCUGGGUGAAACGGCCUCCAGUG